GAACGCACCUUGCGCCCUUUGGUAUUCCGAAGGGCAUGCCUGUUUGAGUGUCAUGAAACCUCACCCCACUUGGGUUUUUGCCUGAGCGGUGGUGUAUUGGGUGUUGCCUUGCUAAAGGCUCGCCUUAAAGACAUAAGCACCUUGGAUGUAAUACGUUUCAUCCUUCUGGGUGGCUGAUAACCCCACAUAUUCAUGAUCUGGCCUCAAAUCAGGUAGGGCUACCCGCUGAACUUAAG
This 236-nucleotide unclassified non-coding RNA is filed under the name Vishniacozyma victoriae. RNAcentral's name for it is "sequence contains 5.8S rRNA gene". The stretch from base 1 to 53 matches the Rfam family "5.8S ribosomal RNA", at positions 102 to 154 of the family's 154-position model. Lineage: Eukaryota; Fungi; Basidiomycota; Tremellomycetes; Tremellales; Bulleribasidiaceae. The record is from RNAcentral.